Molecule: ribosomal RNA, 482 nt
Filed under: uncultured bacterium
Lineage: Bacteria
Description: partial 16S ribosomal RNA
Rfam family: Bacterial small subunit ribosomal RNA
Source: RNAcentral
GACGAACGCUGGCGGCGUGCCUAACACAUGCAAGUCGAACGAUGAAGCCCAGCUUGCUGGGUGGAUUAGUGGCGAACGGGUGAGUAACACGUGGGCAACCUGCCCCAAACUCUGGGAUAACUCCUCGAAAGAGGUGCUAAUACCGGAUACGAACUAGACAGACAUCUGUACUAGUUGGAAAGUUUUUCGGUUUGGGAUGGGCCCGCGGCCUAUCAGCUUGUUGGUGAGGUAACGGCUCACCAAGGCUACGACGGGUAACCGGCCUGAGAGGGCGACCGGUAACACUGGGACUGCGACACGGCCCAGCCUCCUACGGGAGGCAGCAGUGGGGAAUAUUGCGCAAUGGGCGAAAGCCUGACGCAGCGACGCCGCGUGAGGGAUGAAGGUCUUCGGAUCGUAAACCUCUUUCAGUAGGGACGAAGCGAAAGUGACGGUACCUAAAGAAGAAGCACCGGCUAACUACGUGCCAGCAGCCGCCGUAA